ACCCGCGGAUGCGUGACUCAUGUGCAAUCUUCCUUUCGGUAGUGAUAGACCCGUUCAUUUGGAUUAAUACCUCAUACUAUAUUGCUCUCGCAUGAAAUUAUUAACCAUCAUUUCUCGCUCAAACAUAAGAAUGCAUCCCAUAAUUUAUUUGUGGAGGUGACGGCUUACCACGACUACAAUGGGUAGGGGUCCUGAAGGGAUAUCCCCCACACUGGUACUGUGACACGGACCACACUCCUACGGGAGGGCCAGUGGGAAUAUAUUGACAAUGGGGCAAACCUGAUCCACCCAUGCCGCGUGUGUGAUGACGGUCCUAUGGAUUGUAAACUGCUUUUAUUUGGGAGGAACGCUGGUUCCUGAACCAGCUUGACGGUGACGUUGAAUAAGGAUCGGCUAACUCCGUGCCUGU
This 409-nucleotide ribosomal RNA is filed under the name Flavobacterium sp. 6FA4. RNAcentral describes it as "bacterial SSU rRNA". It matches the Rfam family "Bacterial small subunit ribosomal RNA", at positions 94 to 512 of the family's 1533-position model. The record is from RNAcentral. Lineage: Bacteria; Pseudomonadati; Bacteroidota; Flavobacteriia; Flavobacteriales; Flavobacteriaceae.